RNAcentral lists this ribosomal RNA (2298 nucleotides) under Triticum aestivum (bread wheat). RNAcentral's name for it is "partial small subunit ribosomal RNA". The record is from RNAcentral. Lineage: Eukaryota; Viridiplantae; Streptophyta; Magnoliopsida; Poales; Poaceae.
AUGCUCGUGGCCCUCAGCGCGGCGCAAUGGGUGGUGGGCAAGGCGCUGGCCCCCAUUGCCGAUGGCUUGCUGGAGGCUUGGGGUGCUACCAAGAACUUGGGUCUCAACAUCGAGGCCCUUAGGAUGGAACUGCUGCUCGUGAAGGCCACGCUUGAACUCGCCGGCUGCAAGCAGAUCCAAGGCCAGGCUAUGGAGGAGUUGUUGGGGAAGCUGCGGCACUCGGCGCACUGUGCCGAGGACUUGUUGGACGAGCUGGACUAUUUCCGCAUCCACGAUGAGCUCCAUGGCAUGUACGACGCUGCAGAUCAGCAUGCCAAGGGUUGCGUCCAUGAUUUUUGUCUCAAUGCUCGCCACACUGCCAAAGCUGUUAGCCAACUGGUUGGUUUAUCCACGAGGUCGUCUGCUUCCAGCCCUGCAUGUGAUCCUGGAGAAGUACAAGCUGCAAGACAACGGGUCAGCUGUUGCGUUUGGCCUCAUGGUAGGCAGAGGUCAUGCGGCAAUUCCUCCUUGGCGCCAAAUGCUAAUCAGGAGGUCAGUGGAUGCAUUCCCAGGCUCGGUAAACUCCUCCUUUGCUCAUCUUCCCCACAUGUAUGUGAUGAUCAUUCUGGCCAGCCAACUCUUCGUGGUGCAUCACAAAAGGAAACACCAGUACUGGGGUUUCAUAGGGUUUAUGUCUCUGAAAGAAUGAAGUGCAUUGUUGAGCAACUGCAGCCUGUGCGUACAGAGGUUACCAAGAUUCUGCAGAGUUGUGACCGUAUGACUGUCCCUGAUAUUUCAGUGAGCCGUCCCAUUACCACUGGCCAAAGUACGGAGCAGAAAUUGUAUGGGAGGGACCAUAUCAUGCAUACCAUCAUACAUGAUAUGACCAAGGGUAAAUACUGCAGCAAGGAUCUAACCGUGCUUCCGGUUGUCGGUCCAGGGGGAAUAGGGAAGACAACACUGGUACAGUACAUAUAUAGAAACCAGCAAGUGCAAGAUCAUUUUCAAGUCCUUAUUUGGGUAUGUGUGUCACUCAGUUUCAAUUUGAGUAAGCUGCUAGAUGAGAUUAAAACAUAUAUCCCUCGGGUCGAAGGGGAAAAAGUUGGCAGAGUCGAAGAGCUGAUUGAACAGAGAUUAAAAUCCAAAAGGUUUUUGCUUGUACUGGAUGAUGUAUGGGAGUUCAGUAAUGGGGAUGACUGGAAAAGGUUAUUGCUGCCAUUCAAAGCAUCGCAAGAAAAAGGUAGUGUGAUUCUACUCACGACUCGGUUUCCAGCAAUAGCAAAUAUGGGUAAAACAGCUGAUUAUAUAGAACUGGAAGGAUUAAAAUCUGAAGAAUUUAGGAAGUUGUUUCUUUCGUUUGUGUUUGUUGAUGAGCCCUUUACAAGUGAUCAUAGUUUUUUGCUUGAGACCGGAGAUAAGAUAAUGGAAAACCUAAAGGGCUCUCCUCUUGCUGCAAAAACAGUUGGUGCAUUAUUGAGAAAAAACCUUAAUUUGCGUCAUUGGAGAAGAGUCUUAGAAAGUAAAGAAUGGGAGAGACAAACCGGUGUCAAUGACAUUAUGUCUGCCUUGAAGCUUAGCUAUUACUAUCUUCCUUUCCAUCAGCGACAAUGUUUCUCCUAUUCUGCAUUGUUUCCUGAAGAUUACAAGUAUAGUGGUACUGAGCUAAUCAACUUUUGGAUAGGACUGGAUAUUUUACAACCUUGUGGUCAAAAUCAAACAUUGGAAGAUAUAGGUCUGAGCAAUUUAAAUGAUCUGGUCACAUAUGGAUUUUUCAAAGAAGAGAAAACUAAUGGUCGUCUGCGUUAUGUAAUGCAUGACCUGCUACAUGAUUUAGCAUUGCACAUGGGAUCUCAUGAAUACAUUAGUUUACAUCGGUCUAAUGUGGGAUCAGUGCAGAUUAAGCCAUCCAUACGUCACUUGUCUAUAAUCAUAGAUGAUGAUGAUACACUCUCUCAAGAGAACUUUAAGGGACAAUUGAGAAAACUGAAGACGAUAUUGAAGGUUAAGCAAUUGCAUAGUUUGAUGUUAUUUGGAGAAAUGGAUGAGAGCUUUGCCAGCAUUUUGAGUGAUUUGUUUAGGGAAGCAAAUGGUCUUCGUGUUCUCUGUCUGGUUAACAUGCCAACUUCUGUGGAGUUCAUGUUACACAACUUUUCAGCACUUGUCCACCUGCGAUACUUAUGUCUGGGUACAAAAAAGUAUGGGAGGGAGAUGCAAUUACCACUUGCCAUUUCCAGAUUUUAUCAUUUAAGGGUUCUGGAUCUAGGAUCAUGGUAUGGCUGUUGUGAUUUGCCAAGAGACUUGAGCAAGCUUGCAAAAUAG